RNAcentral lists this transfer RNA (88 nucleotides) under Nitrosomonas sp. RNAcentral describes it as "tRNA-Ser". It matches the Rfam family "tRNA". Rfam says of the family: Transfer RNA (tRNA) molecules are approximately 80 nucleotides in length. Their secondary structure includes four short double-helical elements and three loops (D, anti-codon, and T loops). Lineage: Bacteria; Pseudomonadati; Pseudomonadota; Betaproteobacteria; Nitrosomonadales; Nitrosomonadaceae. The record is from RNAcentral.
GGAAGCGUGGCCGAGCGGUUUAAGGCACUGGUCUUGAAAAACAGCGAUGGGCAACUAUCCGUGAGUUCGAAUCUCACCGCUUCCGCCA